RNAcentral lists this ribosomal RNA (465 nucleotides) under uncultured bacterium. RNAcentral's name for it is "partial 16S ribosomal RNA". It matches the Rfam family "Bacterial small subunit ribosomal RNA", at positions 338 to 795 of the family's 1533-position model. The record is from RNAcentral.
CCUACGGGUGGCUGCAGUGGGGAAUAUUGCGCAAUGGGCGAAAGCCUGACGCAGCGACGCCGCGUGAGGGAUGAAGGUCUUCGGAUCGUAAACCUCUGUCAGCAGGGAAGAACGGUCACUGUGCUAAUCAGCAGUGAAUUGACGGUACCUGCAAAGGAAGCACCGGCUAACUCCGUGCCAGCAGCCGCGGUAAUACGGAGGGUGCGAGCGUUAAUCGGAAUUACUGGGCGUAAAGCGCGCGUAGGCGGUAUGUCAAGUCAAGGGGGAAAUCCCCGCGCUCAACGUGGGAACUGCCUUUGAAACUGACAAACUGGAGUGUGUGAGAGGAUAGUGGAAUUCCAGGUGUAGGGGUGAAAUCCGUAGAUAUCUGGAGGAACAUCAGUGGCGAAGGCGACUAUCUGACACAUAACUGACGCUGAGGAGCGAAAGCGUGGGUAGCAAACAGGAUUAGAUACCCGAGUAGUC